UUGGAAAUAUGGUGGAUAUGUGAAGGUU
Molecule: non-coding RNA, 28 nt
Filed under: Rattus norvegicus (Norway rat)
Lineage: Eukaryota; Metazoa; Chordata; Mammalia; Rodentia; Muridae
Source: RNAcentral